Molecule: ribosomal RNA, 492 nt
Filed under: uncultured bacterium
Lineage: Bacteria
Description: partial 16S ribosomal RNA
Rfam family: Bacterial small subunit ribosomal RNA
Source: RNAcentral
AGUGAACGCUGGCGGUAUGCCUAACACAUGCAAGUCGAACGGCAGCACAGUAAGAGCUUGCUCUUACGGGUGGCGAGUGGCGGACGGGUGAGGAAUACAUCGGAAUCUACUUUUUCGUGGGGGAUAACGUAGGGAAACUUACGCUAAUACCGCAUACGACCUACGGGUGAAAGCAGGGGAGCUUCGGACCUUGCGCGAUUGAAUGAGCCGAUGUCGGAUUAGCUAGUUGGCGGGGUAAAGGCCCACCAAGGCGACGACCCGUAGCUGGUCUGAGAGGAUGAUCGGCGACACUGGAAGGGGGACACGGACCAGAGUCCUGAGGGAGGGAGCAGUGUGGAACAUUGGACAGUGGGCGCAAGCCUGGUCCAGCCAUACCGAGCGGGUGGCGGAGGCCUUCGGGUUGUGAAGCCGGUUUGUUGGGAAAGAACAGCAGCAGGUUAAUACCCCGCUGUUCUGACGGUACCCAAAGAAUAAGCACCGGCUAACUUCGUG